AUUGAACGCUGGCGGCAUGCCUUACACAUGCAAGUCGAACGGCAGCAUGGGUGCUUGCACCUGAUGGCGAGUGGCGAACGGGUGAGUAAUGCAUCGGAACGUACCCGGAAGUGGGGGAUAACGUAGCGAAAGUUACGCUAAUACCGCAUAUUCUGUGAGCAGGAAAGCGGGGGAUCGCAAGACCUCGCGCUUCCGGAGCGGCCGAUGUCGGAUUAGCUAGUUGGCGGGUAAAGGCCUACCAAGGCAACGAUCCGUAGCGGGUCUGAGAGGAUGAUCCGCCACACUGGGACUGAGACACGGCCCAGACUCCUACGGGAGGCAGCAGUGGGGAAUUUUGGACAAUGGGGGCAACCCUGAUCCAGCCAUGCCGCGUGAGUGAAGAAGGCC
RNAcentral lists this ribosomal RNA (387 nucleotides) under uncultured bacterium. RNAcentral describes it as "bacterial SSU rRNA". It matches the Rfam family "Bacterial small subunit ribosomal RNA", at positions 29 to 416 of the family's 1533-position model. The record is from RNAcentral.